Small nucleolar RNA from Benincasa hispida (wax gourd), 107 nucleotides. Lineage: Eukaryota; Viridiplantae; Streptophyta; Magnoliopsida; Cucurbitales; Cucurbitaceae. The record is from RefSeq and is a predicted model, not a curated record.
AGUCUGUUAUGUGGACAAUCCCUGACUAAUCUCUUGAAUCUCCCCCAUGCAUCAUUGAGCGUUUCUUUUUCUUCCUGUUGAAAGUUUGUAAUUAGCCUUCUUCUUUU